AUACUUACCUGGCUCAGGAGGUACCGUGAUCAAGUAGGCGGUUCUCCCAUUGCGAGGCCUUACCAUUGCACUUCGGUGGGCUGACCAAUGCGAUUCUGUUUGGAACUCGGGAGUACAAUUUCUGAAAGUGGGGACUGCGUUCGCGCUAUCCCCC
Molecule: small nuclear RNA, 154 nt
Organism: Patiria miniata (bat star)
Lineage: Eukaryota; Metazoa; Echinodermata; Asteroidea; Valvatida; Asterinidae
Product: U1 spliceosomal RNA
Exons: 1
Source: RefSeq, a predicted model, not a curated record